CCUACGGGAGGCAGCAGUGGGGAAUAUUGCACAAUGGGCGCAAGCCUGAUGCAGCGACGCCGCGUGAGGGAUGACGGCCUUCGGGUUGUAAACCUCUUUCGCCAGGGACGAAGCGCAAGUGACGGUACCUGGAUAAGAAGCACCGGCUAACUACGUGCCAGCAGCCGCGGUAAU
This 174-nucleotide ribosomal RNA is filed under the name uncultured bacterium. Its description in RNAcentral is "partial 16S rRNA". It matches the Rfam family "Bacterial small subunit ribosomal RNA", at positions 338 to 524 of the family's 1533-position model. RNAcentral also lists the same sequence under 1 other name. The record is from RNAcentral.